This 425-nucleotide ribosomal RNA is filed under the name uncultured bacterium. RNAcentral's name for it is "partial 16S ribosomal RNA". It matches the Rfam family "Bacterial small subunit ribosomal RNA", at positions 354 to 796 of the family's 1533-position model. The record is from RNAcentral.
GUUAGGAAUAUUGGACAAUGGGCGCAAGCCUGAUCCAGCCAUGCCGCGUGAGUGAUGAAGGCCUUCGGGUUGUAAAGCUCUUUAGUCGAUGAUUAUAAUGACUGUAGUCGGAAAAUAAGCCCCGGCUAACUUCGUGCCAGCAGCCGCGGUAAUACGAAGGGGGCGAGCGUUAUUCGGAAUCACUGGGCGUAAAGCGUGCGUAGGCGGCUUUGCAAGUUGGGAGUGAAAGCCCAGGGCUCAACCCUGGAAUUGCUCUCAAAACUGCAAGGCUCGAAUUCGGGAGAGGAUAGCGGAAUUGUCAGUGUAGCAGUGAAAUGCGUAGAUAUUGACAGGAACACCAGUGGCGUAAGCGGCUAUCUGGACCGAUAUUGACGCUGAGGCACGAAAGCGUGGGGAUCAAACAGGAUUAGAUACCCCGGUAGUCC